RNAcentral lists this unclassified non-coding RNA (215 nucleotides) under air metagenome. Its description in RNAcentral is "partial contains small subunit ribosomal RNA, internal transcribed spacer 1, and 5.8S ribosomal RNA". The stretch from base 1 to 46 matches the Rfam family "Eukaryotic small subunit ribosomal RNA", at positions 1786 to 1831 of the family's 1831-position model. The record is from RNAcentral.
AAGUCGUAACAAGGUUUCCGUAGGUGAACCUGCGGAAGGAUCAUUACAGAGAUAAGAGCUUCGGCUCUGACCUCCAACCCUUUGUUUACUGUUACCACUGUUGCCUCGGCGGGUCUCCCGCCGCUAGGACACAACCAUAAACUCUUUGUAAACCCAGUCUUCUGAGAGUAAAUUUAAAUACUUCAAAACUUUCAACAACGGAUCUCUUGGUUCUG